Molecule: ribosomal RNA, 596 nt
Filed under: Bacillus cereus
Lineage: Bacteria; Bacillati; Bacillota; Bacilli; Caryophanales; Bacillaceae
Description: bacterial SSU rRNA
Rfam family: Bacterial small subunit ribosomal RNA
Source: RNAcentral
GCAGUCGAGCGAUGGAUUAAGAGCUUGCUCUUAUGAAGUUAGCGGCGGACGGGUGAGUAACACGUGGGUAACCUGCCCAUAAGACUGGGAUAACUCCGGGAAACCGGGGCUAAUACCGGAUAACAUUUUGAACCGCAUGGUUCGAAAUUGAAAGGCGGCUUCGGCUGUCACUUAUGGAUGGACCCGCGUCGCAUUAGCUAGUUGGUGAGGUAACGGCUCACCAAGGCAACGAUGCGUAGCCGACCUGAGAGGGUGAUCGGCCACACUGGGACUGAGACACGGCCCAGACUCCUACGGGAGGCAGCAGUAGGGAAUCUUCCGCAAUGGACGAAAGUCUGACGGAGCAACGCCGCGUGAGUGAUGAAGGCUUUCGGGUCGUAAAACUCUGUUGUUAGGGAAGAACAAGUGCUAGUUGAAUAAGCUGGCACCUUGACGGUACCUAACCAGAAAGCCACGGCUAACUACGUGCCAGCAGCCGCGGUAAUACGUAGGUGGCAAGCGUUAUCCGGAAUUAUUGGGCGUAAAGCGCGCGCAGGUGGUUUCUUAAGUCUGAUGUGAAAGCCCACGGCUCAACCGUGGAGGGUCAUUGGAAACUG